GUCACGCUGUAAACGAUGUCGAUUUGGGGUUGUUGCCUAGAGUGAUGGGCUCCGAAGCUAACGCGAUAAAUCGACCGCCUGGGGAGUACGGCCGCAAGGUUAAAACUCAAAUGAAUUGACGGGGGCCCGCACAAGCGGUGGAGCAUGUGGUUUAAUUCGAUGCAACGCGAAGAACCUUACCUGGUCUUGACAUCCAUAGAAUUCUGCAGAGAUGUGGGAGUGCCUUCGGGAACUAUGGGACAGGUGCUGCAUGGCUGUCGUCAGCUCGUGUUGUGAAAUGUUGGGUUAAGUCCCGCAACGAGCGCAACCCUUAUUCUUUGUUGCCAGCGAUUUGGUCGGGAACUCAAAGGAGACUGCCGUUGAUAAAGCGGAGGAAGGUGGGGACGACGUCAAGUCAUCAUGGCCCUUACGACCAGGGCUACACACGUGCUACAAUGGCGUAUACAAAGGGAAGCGAAGGUGCGAGCUGGAGCGGAUCUCAUAAAGUACGUCUAAGUUCGGAUUGGAGUCUGCAACUCGACUCCAUGAAGUCGGAAUCGCUAGUAAUCGUAGAUCAGAAUGCUACGGUGAAUACGUUCCCGGGCCUCGUACACACCGCCCGUCACACCAUGGGAGUGGGUUGCACCAGAAGUAGAUAGCUUAACCGCGAGGGGGGCGUUUACCACGGUGUGAUUCAUGACUGGGGUGAAGUCGUAACAAGGUAACCA
Molecule: ribosomal RNA, 707 nt
Filed under: uncultured Providencia sp.
Lineage: Bacteria; Pseudomonadati; Pseudomonadota; Gammaproteobacteria; Enterobacterales; Morganellaceae
Description: bacterial SSU rRNA
Rfam family: Bacterial small subunit ribosomal RNA
Source: RNAcentral